ACUCCUACGGGAGGCAGCAGUGGGGAAUAUUGGACAAUGGGGGCAACCCUGAUCCAGCCAUGCCGCGUGAGUGAUGACGGCCUUAGGGUUGUAAAGCUCUUUUCUCCGGGACGAUAAUGACGGUACCGGAGGAAUAAGCCCCGGCUAACUUCGUGCCAGCAGCCGCGGUAAUACGAAGGGGGCUAGCGUUGCUCGGAAUCACUGGGCGUAAAGGGCGCGUAGGCGGCUGAUUUAGUCGAGGGUGAAAGCCCGUGGCUCAACCACGGAAUGGCCUUCGAUACUGAUUGGCUUGAGACCGGAAGAGGACAGCGGAACUGCGAGUGUAGAGGUGAAAUUCGUAGAUAUUCGCAAGAACACCAGUGGCGAAGGCGGCUGUCUGGUCCGGUUCUGACGCUGAGGCGCGAAAGCGUGGGAGGCAAACAGGAUUAGAUACCCUGGUAGCGACUGA
Molecule: ribosomal RNA, 448 nt
Filed under: uncultured bacterium
Lineage: Bacteria
Description: bacterial SSU rRNA
Rfam family: Bacterial small subunit ribosomal RNA
Source: RNAcentral